RNAcentral lists this ribosomal RNA (739 nucleotides) under uncultured Staphylococcus sp. Its description in RNAcentral is "bacterial SSU rRNA". It matches the Rfam family "Bacterial small subunit ribosomal RNA", at positions 62 to 783 of the family's 1533-position model. The record is from RNAcentral. Lineage: Bacteria; Bacillati; Bacillota; Bacilli; Caryophanales; Staphylococcaceae.
UCGAGCGAACAGACGAGGAGCUUGCUCCUCUGACGUUAGCGGCGGACGGGUGAGUAACACGUGGAUAACCUACCUAUAAGACUGGGAUAACUUCGGGAAACCGGAGCUAAUACCGGAUAAUAUAUUGAACCGCAUGGUUCAAUAGUGAAAGACGGUUUUGCUGUCACUUAUAGGUGGAUCCGCGCCGCAUUAGCUAGUUGGUAAGGUAACGGCUUACCAAGGCAACGAUGCGUAGCCGACCUGAGAGGGUGAUCGGCCACACUGGAACUGAGACACGGUCCAGACUCCUACGGGAGGCAGCAGUAGGGAAUCUUCCGCAAUGGGCGAAAGCCUGACGGAGCAACGCCGCGUGAGUGAUGAAGGUCUUCGGAUCGUAAAACUCUGUUAUUAGGGAAGAACAAAUGUGUAAGUAACUAUGCACGUCUUGACGGUACCUAAUCAGAAAGCCACGGCUAACUACGUGCCAGCAGCCGCGGUAACACGUAGGUGGCAAGCGUUAUCCGGAAUUAUUGGGCGUAAAGCGCGCGUAGGCGGUUUUUUAAGUCUGAUGUGAAAGCCCACGGCUCAACCGUGGAGGGUCAUUGGAAACUGGAAAACUUGAGUGCAGAAGAGGAAAGUGGAAUUCCAUGUGUAGCGGUGAAAUGCGCAGAGAUAUGGAGGAACACCAGUGGCGAAGGCGACUUUCUGGUCUGUAACUGACGCUGAUGUGCGAAAGCGUGGGGAUCAAACAGGAUUAGAU